This is a non-coding RNA of Podarcis lilfordi (Lilford's wall lizard), 75 nucleotides long. The record is from the annotation of a GenBank genome assembly. NCBI's taxonomy places the organism in Eukaryota, Metazoa, Chordata, Lepidosauria, Squamata, Lacertidae.
GCCUGAUCUAGCAGGGCUCUCCUUGCAGUGAGAUUCAUAAUCUCAGGGUUGUGGGUUUGAGCCCCACGUUGGGCA